GACGAACGCUGGCGGCGUGCUUAACACAUGCAAGUCGAACGGAAAGGCCCUGCUUUUGUGGGGUGCUCGAGUGGCGAACGGGUGAGUAACACGUGAGUAACCUGCCCUUGACUUUGGGAUAACUUCAGGAAACUGGGGCUAAUACCGGAUAGGAGCUCCUGCUGCAUGGUGGGGGUUGGAAAGUUUCGGCGGUUGGGGAUGGACUCGCGGCUUAUCAGCUUGUUGGUGGGGUAGUGGCUUACCAAGGCUUUGACGGGUAGCCGGCCUGAGAGGGUGACCGGCCACAUUGGGACUGAGAUACGGCCCAGACUCAUACGGGAGGCAGCAGUGGGGAAUAUUGCACAAUGGGCGGAAGCAUGAUGCAGCAACGCCGCGUGCGGGAUGACGGCCUUCGGGUGGUAAACCGCUUUCGCCUGUGACGAAGCGUGAGUGACGGUAAUGGGUAAAGAAGCACCGGCUAACUACGU
Molecule: ribosomal RNA, 467 nt
Filed under: uncultured bacterium
Lineage: Bacteria
Description: partial 16S ribosomal RNA
Rfam family: Bacterial small subunit ribosomal RNA
Source: RNAcentral